This 561-nucleotide ribosomal RNA is filed under the name uncultured archaeon. RNAcentral describes it as "bacterial SSU rRNA". It matches the Rfam family "Archaeal small subunit ribosomal RNA", at positions 258 to 823 of the family's 1478-position model. The record is from RNAcentral.
CAUUGAUCGGUACGGGUUGUGAGAGCAAGAGCCCGGAGAUGGAUUCUGAGACACGAAUCCAGGCCCUACGGGGCGCAGCAGGCGCGAAAACUUUACAAUGCGAGAAAUCGUGAUAAGGGAACCCCGAGUGCCCGUAAAUUCGGGCUGUCCGCCAGUGUAAAUAACUGGUGAAGAAAGGGCCGGGCAAGACCGGUGCCAGCCGCCGCGGUAAUACCGGCGGCUCGAGUGGUGGCCACUAUUACUGGGCUUAAAGCGUCCGUAGCUGGAUUGUUAAGUCUCUUGGGAAAUCCACCGGCUCAACCGAUGGGCGUUCAGGAGAAACUGGCAAUCUAGGGACCGGGAGAGGUGAGAGGUACUCCAGGGGUAGGAGUGAAAUCCUGUAAUCCUUGGGGGACCACCUGUGGCGAAGGCGUCUCACUAGAACGGCUCCGACAGUGAGGGACGAAAGCUGGGGGAGCAAACCGGAUUAGAUACCCGGGUAGUCCCAGCUGUAAACGAUGCGCGUUAGGUGUAUCGGUGACCACGAGUCAUCGAGGUGCCGAAGGGAAACCGUGAAACGUG